RNAcentral lists this ribosomal RNA (377 nucleotides) under uncultured bacterium. RNAcentral's name for it is "bacterial SSU rRNA". It matches the Rfam family "Bacterial small subunit ribosomal RNA", at positions 521 to 896 of the family's 1533-position model. The record is from RNAcentral.
UAAUACGUAGGGGGCGAGCGUUGUCCGAAGUUACUGGGCGUAAAGCGCGCGUAGGCGGGUUCUUAAGUGAGGGGUGAAAGGUUUGGGCUCAACCCAAACACUGCCUUUCAUACUGGGAGCCUUGAGUAUGGGAGAGGCGAGUGGAAUGGUCGGUGUAGCGGUGAAAUGCGUAGAUAUCGAUCGGAACACCCAUGGCGAAGGCAGCUCGCUGGCCUAAAACUGACGCUGAGGCGCGAAAGCGUGGGGAGCAAACAGGAUUAGAUACCCUGGUAGUCCACGCCGUAAACGAUGAGUGCUAGGUGUCAGGGGUAUCGACCCCCCUGGUGCCGCAGCUAACGCAAUAAGCACUCCGCCUGGGGAGUACGGCCGCAAGGUUG